GACGAACGCUGGCGGCGUGCCUAAUACAUGCAAGUUGAGCGCUGAAGGUUGGUACUUGUACCCACUGGAUGAGCAGCGAACGGGUGAGUAACGCGUGGGUAAUCUGCCUUUGAGCGGGGGACAACAUUUGGAAACGAAUGCUACUACCGCAUCAAAACUUUAAACACAAGUUUUAAGUUUGAAAGAUGCAAUUGCAUCACUCAAAGAUGAUCCCGCGUUGUAUUAGCUAGUUGGUGAGGUAAAGGCUCACCAAGGCGAUGAUACAUAGCCGACCUGAGAGGGUGAUCGGGCAAAAUGGGACUGAGACAAGGCCCAAACUCCUACGGGAGGCAGCAGUAGGGAAUCUUCGGCAAUGGACGAAAGGCUGACCGAGGAACGCCGCGGGAGGGAAGAAGGGUUUCGGAUCGGAAAACUCUGUUGGUAGAGAAGAACGUUGGUGAGAGUGGAAAGCUCAUCAAGUGACGGUAACUACCCAGAAAGGGACGGCUAACUACGUG
RNAcentral lists this ribosomal RNA (497 nucleotides) under uncultured bacterium. RNAcentral describes it as "partial 16S ribosomal RNA". It matches the Rfam family "Bacterial small subunit ribosomal RNA", at positions 28 to 507 of the family's 1533-position model. The record is from RNAcentral.